RNAcentral lists this long non-coding RNA (1435 nucleotides) under Felis catus (domestic cat). RNAcentral's name for it is "lncRNA (ENSFCAG00000047562.1)". Lineage: Eukaryota; Metazoa; Chordata; Mammalia; Carnivora; Felidae. The record is from RNAcentral.
UAUAUGUUCUCAUGUGCCCACCUCUCCCACUAGACUGUGAGCUGUGCAGCCAUACAGGGACCACAUUGUCUUCUUAUCCCAGGCCCCAUCCCCAGUGCCUAGCUUGGUGGCUGACACAUAGUAAGCACUCAAAAACUAUUUGCAUAAAUGAAUAAACAAAUGAGCCUCAUCUCAGGAAACAAAGCAGGGGCUUGGAAGAUGGUGGCCCUGCAGACCCGCCCUGUGACUCCCCUGCCUCCGCUCUUCUGGUCUCAACGAGCCUCCUGCUCAACCGGUGAGACUUGCGCUUUGAUUUACUCCCUGGUGACAUCAUAGCCAUCACCAUGGCAACGCCCAGCGAUGCCUGUCUGCCAGACAAAGUCGCUUCCAUCAGGAAAGGGCAAAUGGACACCCAGGGUGGGAAGGAGUCAUUUAUGAGGUGCAGCGUCAGCCCUCACAGCCUUGCAUGGGCAACCAGUGCCUGAUGGGGCUGCGGCUGGUGCCACAGCAUCUGUGUCCCUGUGGAGGGCAGCCAGGACUGACUUCCCUGCUGUGGGAGAGAGCUCUUUAUCUUUGAGACAGGCCAGCCAGCCGGAAGCCAGUGUGUAGGUGGAGGCCAAGUAUAGCACAGGCACGUCUGUCUGGCCCACCUGCAUCAUCUGCCCAUAGCCCCUCAAACACCUGCGUAAAGCUCUGGCUUCCCGGCUGCACAUCACUCUUUCCUUCCUGGUUUCUUACCUUCCCUCCUGCCCCCCGUCCUCCCCACUCCCCCCAUUUUCUUUUUCUUUCUUUUUUUCUCGGGGAGGGGGUUGCAAAAUCUACUCAGAACCUGCUGUGUGUCAGGCUCUGUCUCAGACAGGAGUGUUCGCCAGUGUUCGAAGGGGUCUCUGCCUCGUAGACAAGGAGUGGAGCUCCCAUGCCUGCCCUUUUGGAGAUCUGUGGCAUCUGCCCCAGCCCUUACCGGAGGUGGAGAAAAGAAGGACUUUCUGGACCUGCUUUCAGGCUGUCGACCUGCGACAAGUCCCUGGGCCCUUCCAGAAAUCAGAUUUGCUGACUGUUCUCUAUGUUGUCACUGAUACCUUUGGUGGGAAGAGAACAAUACUGGCCUGUGUGCUGUGCUGCUUUUUAUCUGUGUAGUUCCAGAACAUAGUAAGGCAUGGCACACAGUAGGCACUAACAAAUGCUUCUUGGAGUGGAUAGAUGGAUGGAUGAAUGGAUGGAUGGAUGGAUAUAUGAAGUCCUGUGAGCCUAAAUGAAGAUUGCCUCCUUUCUGCCAGAGAAUUCCAGGAGCGUGUGAAGCUGGGCUGGGGGAGCAGUGGGGCUCAGGCUCUGGGAAAAACUAUGAAGACCACAAAAGUAAUUCAGCCCCUAAUGACCUUGAGACCCAGGCAAACCAUUCCUUGUACAUACACAAGGUAUAUUUCAUAGAGGAAGGGACUGUGGGCUUGGGGCCAGC